This 258-nucleotide ribosomal RNA is filed under the name uncultured bacterium. RNAcentral describes it as "partial 16S ribosomal RNA". It matches the Rfam family "Bacterial small subunit ribosomal RNA", at positions 103 to 354 of the family's 1533-position model. The record is from RNAcentral.
CGGGUGAGUAACACGUGAGUGACCUGCCUUUUAGACUGGAACAACUUACCGAAAGGUGAGCUAAUGCCGGAUGAGUUAUAUAAGUGCAUGUUUAUAUAGGAAAAGUUGGGGAGACCUGACGCUGAAAGAUGGACUCGCGUCCCAUUAGCUAGUUGGUAGGGUAAUGGCCUACCAAGGCGACGAUGGGUAGCCGGCCUGAGAGGGAGGCCGGCCACACUGGGACUGAGACACGGCCCAGACUCCUACGGAAGGCAGCAG